Molecule: microRNA, 21 nt
Filed under: Oryza sativa (Asian cultivated rice)
Lineage: Eukaryota; Viridiplantae; Streptophyta; Magnoliopsida; Poales; Poaceae
Description: osa-miR5510
Source: miRBase by way of RNAcentral
AGGCUGAUCCACUCCAGAGGA